Molecule: transfer RNA, 68 nt
Filed under: Phenacostethus smithi
Lineage: Eukaryota; Metazoa; Chordata; Actinopteri; Atheriniformes; Phallostethidae
Description: tRNA-Ser(AGY)
Source: RNAcentral
GAGAGAGGCAUGAAAGCAACGAUGACUGCUAACUUUCGCCCCCUUGGUUAAACUCCAGGGCUCUCUCG